Molecule: ribosomal RNA, 795 nt
Filed under: uncultured archaeon
Lineage: Archaea
Description: bacterial SSU rRNA
Rfam family: Archaeal small subunit ribosomal RNA
Source: RNAcentral
ACGGCUCAGUAACACGUGGACAACCUACCCUGAGGUCGGGGAUAAACCCGGGAAACUGGGUAUAAUACCCGAUAGAUCUAGAUCGCUGGAAUGCUUUUAGGUCUAAAGUUCCGACGCCUCAGGAUGGGUCUGCGGCCUAUCGGGGUAGUAGUGGGUGUAAAGUACCUACUAGCCUACGACGGGUACGGGUUGUGAGAGCAAGAGCCCGGAGAUGGAUUCUGAGACACGAAUCCAGGCCCUACGGGGUGCAGCAGGCGCGAAACCUUUACAAUGCUGGCAACAGCGAUAAGGGGACCUCGAGUGCUACGAUACAAUCGUGGCUGUCUAGUUGCCUAAAAAGCAAUUGAUAGCAAGGGCCGGGCAAGACCGGUGCCAGCCGCCGCGGUAACACCGGCGGCUCGAGUGGUAACCGCUAUUAUUGGGUCUAAAGGGUCUGUAGCCGGCUUAGUUAGUCUCUUGAGAAAUCUGGCCGCUCAACGGUCAGGCGUUCAGGGGAUACUGCUAAAGCUCGAGACCGGGAGAGGUGAGAGGUACUUCAGGGGUAGGGGUGAAAUCUUGUAAUCCUUGAAGGACCACCAGUGGCGAAGGCGUCUCACCAGAACGGAUCUGACGGCAAGGGACGAAAGCUAGGGGCACGAACCGGAUUAGAUACCCGGGUAGUCCUAGCCGUAAACGAUACUCGCUAGGUGUCGGCCACGGUGCGACCGUGGUCGGUGCCGUAGGGAAGCCGUGAAGCGAGCCACCUGGGAAGUACGGCCGCAAGGCUGAAACUUAAAGGAAUUGGCGGGGGAGCAC